CUGGUUGAUCCUGCCAGUAGUCAUAUGCUUGUCUCAAAGAUUAAGCCAUGCAUGUCUAAGUAUAAGCAACUUUGUACUGUGAAACUGCGAAUGGCUCAUUAAAUCAGUUAUAGUUUAUUUGAUGGUUUUUGCUACAUGGAUAACUGUGGUAAUUCUAGAGCUAAUACAUGCAUUCAAGCCCCGACUUCUGGAAGGGGUGUAUUUAUUAGAUAAAAAUCAACUUUGUUGGUGAAUCAUAAUAACUUCUCGGACCGCAUGGCCUUGUGCUGGCGGUGCUUCAUUCAAAUAUCUGCCCUAUCAACUGUCGAUGGUAGGAUAGAGGCCUACCAUGGUUGCAACGGGUAACGGGGAAUAAGGGUUCGAUUCCGGAGAGGGAGCCUGAGAAACGGCUACCACAUCCAAGGAAGGCAGCAGGCGCGCAAAUUACCCAAUCCCGACACGGGGAGGUAGUGACAAUAUGUAACAAUAUACGGCUUAUACGUCGUAUAAUUGGAAUGAGUACAAUUUAAAUCCCCUAACGAGGAACAAUUGGAGGGCAAGUCUGGUGCCAGCAGCCGCGGUAAUUC
RNAcentral lists this ribosomal RNA (566 nucleotides) under uncultured fungus. Its description in RNAcentral is "SSU rRNA". It matches the Rfam family "Eukaryotic small subunit ribosomal RNA", at positions 4 to 585 of the family's 1831-position model. The record is from RNAcentral. Lineage: Eukaryota; Fungi.